AGGAUGAACGCUGGCGGCGUGCCUAAUACAUGCAAGUCGAGCGGUAAGGCCCCUUCGGGGGUACACGAGCGGCGGACGGCUGAGUAACACGUAGGAACGUACCCCAAACUGAGGGAUAAGCACCAGAAAUGGUGUCUAAUACCGCAUGUGGUCUUCGGAUUAAAGCUUCGGCGGUUUGGGAACGGCCUGCGCAUGAUUAGCUUGUUGGUGAGGUAAAAGCUUACCAAGGCGACGAUCAUUAGCUGGUCUGAGAGGAUGAUCAGCCAGACUGGGGCUGAGAACGGCCCAGACUCCUACGGGAGGCAGCAGUAGGGAAUUUUCCACAAUGGGCGAAAGCCUGAUGGAGCAACGCCGCGUGCAGGACGAAGGCCUUCGGGUUGUAAACUGUCUUUUAUAUGUGAAGAUUAUGACGGUAGCAUAUGAAUAAGGAUCGGCUAACGUCCGCGCCAGCAGCCGC
This 457-nucleotide ribosomal RNA is filed under the name uncultured bacterium. Its description in RNAcentral is "SSU rRNA". It matches the Rfam family "Bacterial small subunit ribosomal RNA", at positions 26 to 518 of the family's 1533-position model. The record is from RNAcentral.